Molecule: ribosomal RNA, 1387 nt
Filed under: Prepops sp. WCW-2003b
Lineage: Eukaryota; Metazoa; Arthropoda; Insecta; Hemiptera; Miridae
Description: SSU rRNA
Rfam family: Eukaryotic small subunit ribosomal RNA
Source: RNAcentral
CCAUGCAAGUCUCAGUACAAACUGUAUUAAAGUGAAACCGCAAAAGGCUCAGUAAACCAGUCAUGAUUCACUCGAGUAUACAUGACUGUCUUUGGAUAACUGUGGUAAUCCUAGAGCUAAUACAUGCAAUCAAGUCCCGACCAGUCUGACUGGGAAGGACGCUUUUAUUAGAUCAAGACCAAUCGCCCGGUUCGUCCGGGCGUUGCCUUGGUGACUCUAGGUAACACAUCAGAUCGCAUGGUCUCAGCACCGGCGACUUAUCCUUCAAAUGCCUGACUUAUCAACUGUCGAUGGUAGACUCUAUGUCUACCAUGGUUGUAACGGGUAACGGGGAAUCAGGGUUCGAUUCCGGAGAGGGAGCCUGAGAAACGGCUACCACAUCCAAGGAAGGCAGCAGGCACGCAAAUUACCCACUCCCGGCACGGGGAGGUAGUGACAAAAAAUAACGAUACGGGACUCUUAUGAGGCCCCGUAAUCGGAAUGAGUACACUUUAAAUCCUUUAACAAGGAUCCAUUGAAGGGCAAGUCUGGUGCCAGCAGCCGCGGUAAUUCCAGCUUCAAUAGCGUAUAUUAAAGUUGUUGCGGUUAAAAAGCUCGUAGUUGGUUCUGCGUGCUACGCUGUCGGUUCGCCGCCUGCCGGUGUAACUGGCAUGCCGUGGCAUGUCCUGUCGGUGGCGUGCGGGAGCCUUGUCAGGUGACGGCCCGUGCCCAAAGCUCGGUGUCCGGAGGCCGGAGGUCCCACCCGUGCGCCUACUCUAUCCUACCUAGGUGCUCUUUACCGAGUGUCGAGGUAGGCCGACACGUUUACUUUGAACAAAUUAGAGUGCUCAAAGCAGGCUGAAAUCUCUGCCUGAAUAGUGGUGCAUGGAAUAAUAAAACAGGACCUUGGUUCUAUUUUGUUGGUUCUUAGGAACACAAGGUAAUGAUCAAUACGGACAGGCGGGGGCAUUCGUAUUGCGACGUUAGACUUGGCAAAUGCUUUCGCGGUGAAAUUCUUGGAUCGUCGCAAGACGCACAAGAGCGAAAGCAUUUGCCAAGUAUGUCUUGAUUGAUCAAGAACGAAAGUUAGAGGUUCGAAGGCGAUCAGAUACCGCCCUAGUUCUAACCAUAAACGAUGCCAGCCAGCGAUCCGCCGAUGUUCCUCCGAUGACUCGGCGGGGAGCUUCUUCCCGGGAAACCAAAGCUUUUGGGUUCCGGGGGAAGUAUGGUUGCAAAGCUGAAACUUAAAGGAAUUGACGGAAGGGCACCACCAGGAGUGGAGCCUGCGGCUUAAUUUGACUCAACACGGGAAACCUCACCAGGCCAGGACAUUGGAAGGAUUGACAGAUUGAUAGCCUCUUUCUUGAUUCAGUGGGUAGUGGUGGCAUGGUCCGUUCUUAGUUGGUGG